ACCAAGCGACGCCGCGUGAGCGAUGAAGGCCUUCGGGUGUAAAGCUCUGUCGAGGGGGAUCAAAGCGCAAGCUUGAGUGAUCCCUGGAGGAAGCACGGGCUAAGUCGUGCCAGCAGCCGCGGUAAGACGAACCGUGCGAACGUUGUUCGGAAUCACUGGGCUUAAAGGGCGCGUAGGCGGCUUGCCAAGUCAGGGGUGAAAUCUUGCGGCUUAACCGUAAUAAGCCUUUGAUACUGGCAGGCUCGAGGGAGGUAGGGGCAUGUGGAACUUCCGGUGGAGCGGUGAAAUGCGUUGAUAUCGGAAGGAACGCCAGUGGCGAAAGCGACGUGCUGGAUCUCUUCUGACGCUGAGGCGCGAAAGCUAGGGUAGCGAACGGGAUUAGAUACCCCGGUAGUCCUAGCCCUAAACGAUGGGUACUAGAUUGCAAGCGUGACAUGCGCCUGCAAUCGAAGCAAAAGUGUUAAGUACCCCGCCUGGGGAGUAUGGUCGCAAGGCUG
Molecule: ribosomal RNA, 497 nt
Filed under: uncultured Planctomycetota bacterium
Lineage: Bacteria; Pseudomonadati; Planctomycetota
Description: bacterial SSU rRNA
Rfam family: Bacterial small subunit ribosomal RNA
Source: RNAcentral